Molecule: long non-coding RNA, 2238 nt
Filed under: Cricetulus griseus (Chinese hamster)
Lineage: Eukaryota; Metazoa; Chordata; Mammalia; Rodentia; Cricetidae
Description: lncRNA (ENSCGRG00015038147.1)
Source: RNAcentral
CUCUGCUGACCUACUGACCUUAGAGUAGGGUAACAAGCGUCUGAGACUAUUAAGUGGCAUCAUUCUUGCCCUCUUUCACUUUGUCUCCAUUUUCCUUGCUGCUGUGCUGACAGCAGGAACUGGCCUCGGGCUUGAGCCUUUCCCACAGCUGAUCCACUGGCCUAGUCCUUUGGUUUUCUUUCUGUUCAGGUCUCUGGCCACCUCACCUUUGCCUCCCUCCUUCCUUUUGUGAAGACAAAAAAGGGUCACAAUUACAUGGGUGACAGUACUUACGCCAGUGCCUCCUUUUUUUGCAUGGGUGGACGUGGGCACACAAUCAUGAAAGUGUAAUGAUAGCUCUUUCUUCCGGUCUCCUGCCCACCUCCAAGCCACCUCCAUAAGAGCUCCUUGUCUGACGCACUGAUCUGUCCCUUAGUCAUCGCCUGCUCAUGCUCGUCAUUUCCAGUUGCCUCUCUGUUUAUUUCAAUCUGCAUUUUUUCCCCCCACUCUGGUGAUUCACAGUGGCUCCUUCCAUUGCACAGCCACUUCUUCCAGAACUGGAUGAAACCACAAGUGCUCAGUUUACGCCCCUUUGCACAGGGUGUGCAUUCAGGACAUCUGCAUGGAAUGAACAAAGGCUGCUCUUUGGAGGAACAGUGGCUGCAUCUGAAGAGUAUGAGAUGGUGACUGCAUCAAAGACACCUCCUCUGGGCCUCCCUUUUCAUAGUCCGACAGUUGGCAUGAUUCUCCAAGCGUCAGGUCUCAGCAGGAGAGCAAGAAGGCCCUUCACAGUGGAACAGUUUAUGUACCUCUUUGAGGGCCUAGAAUUAUUAUUAUUAUUAUUAUUAUUAUUAUUAUUAUUAUUAUUUUAAUGGACUGGGAAGAAACUGAAAUAUUGAGGCUGAAGAGAUGGCUCAGCAGCUCACGUUCCCAGCUGAACCGGAGCACGGCAAACUUGCAUCUGUUCGGUGGGCAGCCUCGUCUCCUGCUUCCCACUGUGCACUCGGUGGAAUCUGGGUUUCGUGUCUCUGCGCUUGCGUAAGCACUCUAGCUCUUUUUCUCUUCCCUAGGCCUCUUUAUUCUGAGGAGUCUGGAAAUACAAGUGUGCCUGGAAGAAAAGAGCUGGAUUCAGCUAGGGGUUCCCACCCUGGGCCUUGGGGGGUCAGAGCUAUGGCAUGGAGUUCAAUUGUCUUCAACGAGGCAUGUCAGCAAGACAAACACACCUACAGAGCCAGGCAAGUCCUGUGUGCAACUUUGUAUGACUCAACUCUCAUGACUUGGCAGUUUUUGCAGCAAGGAGCCCAAGACCAUAGUCUUCAGGAGACCUGAAUGGAUCAAGGAAGUCAGUGAAUCAGACUGAAAGAGAAGUUAUCUGCCUGUCAUAGGCAUUGUCUUCUGUCAGCUGCUCUUGUGAGCUCCUGAGCCAGUGAUAAGCCGGCUUGGGCAAGAGGAGGUUCUCCUGAGAAACAUAACACCUACAACGCCAAGAAUUAAGAUUCAGGGAGCCGGGGAAGUGGCUCCGUUGAUACAAUGCUUACUGUCCCAGUCUGCAGAGCUCAGGUCCAUCCUUAGCAAUCACCUACAGAGCCAGGAGUGAUGACAAGGCUGUCGAUUUUUCUGUUCUGGUUCUUGUUUUGCUCUCCUUCCAAAAGCAGAGUGGGGAAUUUCAUUCACUGUGUGGGAACAUUUUAAAUGGGAGAGUAGAAACUGGAGUGAGAGAGUUGACAGAGGGUACCAGCUGGUAGAGAAAGGCUGACAGUGUUCCAGGUGUAAGUUCUCAGCACGCUCCAGGUCACAAAGAGUCAGGCUCUAAGCUCUUCCAGAGUCUCCGGAUGAUGAAGAGGAGCUGUACCCUGUCUGAGCAGGGCAAGGCCAUGGUUCUGCCAUCUAUGGCAAGCCCUGGAGUUUCCCUGAUUGUAGAUGAAGUAAUAGACCUCAGUGCUUCAUCAGGGUCUAUCCACUCUUGAAGGUCGGAGCAGGUUCUUCUCAGGUUUCAGUGUCUCUGGUGAAUCUUCAUUCUUCCCUUCUCUCAUCCAAAGAGUCAAGGACCAUCUGGGAGCUGGCUAGAAGCAGGACUGUAGCCAGGAGCUGGGCUGGCAGAAGCCCUGAGUGCAUGGGUUUCUUGGGGAGCUGGCUCAAAGCAGGACUGUAGCUGGGAUCCGGGCUGGCAGAAGCUCUGUGUGCACUGGUUUCUGUAGCCAGGAGCUGGGCUGGUAGAAGCCCUGUGUGCAUGGGUUUCUGUUUGUCAUGUGAUGCUUU